Gossypium hirsutum (cotton) is the source of this 107-nucleotide non-coding RNA. The record is from Rfam. NCBI's taxonomy places the organism in Eukaryota, Viridiplantae, Streptophyta, Magnoliopsida, Malvales, Malvaceae.
AACCCAUGAUAAAGGCACCUUCUCAAAAGAUCCUUAAAUCUCUCCCAUGUAUCAUAAAGAGUUUUAAUAUCAAACUAAAAAAUGGAAGAGAUGUUGUUCCUCAACUU